Molecule: ribosomal RNA, 468 nt
Filed under: uncultured bacterium
Lineage: Bacteria
Description: partial 16S ribosomal RNA
Rfam family: Bacterial small subunit ribosomal RNA
Source: RNAcentral
GACGAACGCUGGCGGCGUGCUUAACACAUGCAAGUCGAACGGAAAGGCCCUGCUUUUGUGGGGUGCUCGAGUGGCGAACGGGUGAGUAACACGGGAGUAACCUGCCCUUGACUUUGGGAUAACUUCAGGAAACUGGGGCUAAUACCGGAUAGGAGCUCCUGCUGCAUGGUGGGGGUUGGAAAGUUUCGGCGGUUGGGGAUGGACUCGCGGCUUAUCAGCUUGUUGGUGGGGUAGUGGCUUACCAAGGCUUUGACGGGUAGCCGGCCUGAGAGGGUGACCGGCCACAUUGGGACUGAGAUACGGCCCAGACUCAUACGGGAGGCAGCAGUGGGGAAUAUUGCACAAUGGGCGGAAGCCUGAUGCAGCAACGCCGCGUGCGGGAUGACGGCAUUCGGGUUGUAAACCGCUUUCGCCUAUGACGAAGCGUGAGUGACGGUAAUGGGUAAAGAAGCACCGGCUAACUACGUG